This 66-nucleotide transfer RNA is filed under the name Allonautilus scrobiculatus. RNAcentral describes it as "tRNA-Ala". The record is from RNAcentral. Lineage: Eukaryota; Metazoa; Mollusca; Cephalopoda; Nautilida; Nautilidae.
GGCUUUAUACUUUAAGAACUAGAAGUCCUGAUUUGCACUUAGGUAGUAGGAUCAUCCUUAAAGCCC